AAGGAAGUACUGUAGCUGUCUUCUACUGCAGUGACAAGAUGGAGAUACCUGCAUGUGUCUGCUUACGUUUCUUUUCAUUUCUUUGGCUGUUGGUGGGUAUGUUGGAAGGUACUGAAUCUGAACAAGUAAUCGACUGCUAUGGUUUAAAAGGAAAGUCUUUCCUUCUGGAUGUGGAAGGAGUGAAGACAGAAGAAUUACGACGAUUUUACUGGAAGUUGAACUAUACCCAAACUAUACUGGAAUACACAUUACAUAAUACUCAUCUCGACAUUUUUCCUCAAUAUAAGGAGAAAGUUAUGUUCUAUCAGAAAAAUUUCUCUCUUCAAAUUCUUAAACUGGAGGAGUCAAAUAGAGGAAUUUACACAGCGAUAACACAGGAUAGACAUGGAAAAGAUAAGAACAUUGUGUUUUACAGAUUAAUCCCCCAAGAUUCUGUGAUUAAACCAGAGUUAAAGGUGAAGUCAGCUUCAGUCAGUGAAGAGCGCUGCAACAUCUCUGCUACUUGCACUGUCGGUCAAGACAAUUCUGUUUCCUACCGCUGCCAGCAGACACAAUGCACUGAAGUUGGAAGAGACUACACAGAGUCGGAUGACCUGAAGAUCGUUGUCACUGUAAAGAACAGCAGUAUUGUGUGCAAUGCCAGCAACCGAGUCAGCAAUGAUUCUCAUUCGUUGGCUUUAAAAGAUGUCUGUAGAAACAGCGAGCCCCACAACGCAGCAGGGAUCAUUGGUGUGACAGCUGGGACCAUCUUGACCAUCUUAAUCAUCUCCAUUCUGAGCAUCUAUGUAUGUGUUAAAAAAAAUCGUAGAGCUACUAAUCAAGAUGGAAAUCUAGAGCCCCUCAACACAACAUAUGCUUCAGUACAGGAGACCUCUGCUCCCCCUCCUGUCGAGACUCUGUAUGCAGCUGUGGGACCAAGAGAAUGUCAAAGUAAACCAGUGAAACAUCCUGAGGAGACGACCAUAUAUUGUACUGUACAGGGGGCUCACAUUAACUCUUAGUGUUCAGCUGAGGACUGGGUGAUCUGUGAAAAACUGAAUCUUGAUACUCAGGCUUGGGGAACAUACAGACCUUUCACCUGAUCCAGUUUCACUUUGACCUUCUUUUGGAAAUCCUGUGAAUGUCCUGAGGAUUGAACAUCAUGGUUCAAGAUUUGGUUCCUCGCCUGAGAAGACCAGCAAGCCAGAGCUGGAACCAGCAUUCGAAAACAGUCGCUGAAAUGAGACAAAGGUCUGCGUUGUUGUUCUGAGGGCACGAGGAUGUUUCAGCCACGUGACGUUUUAAGUGGAUUCUCAUAUCGUGAUCAUCACUGGAGGAACACGUUACUUUCAAUGGUGGAGACCAGUGAUUGACUCUGAGUUCUAAACAUUACCUGGAGGUUCACAGAAUGAUCUACUGCCUCGUAGAAUCCAUGGUACUACAUCCAAAAAGACAAAAUAGACAAAAACACCUAGUUGGCUGACAUUCUAAAUUCGAGUAAAUUUCCUGCACUCAGACGACACUUUACAAUGUCUCCUUGUGUGUCUGCAAUACGACACUAGAGGCACAGUUAGACUAUAUUGGAAUGUGGAGCAAUUCUCAUUGGUUUGCUCCUGUUAGGUGUGAACAAACUGAAAGUGUAUUUUAGAGCAUAAUGUCUGAGUAGAGGCCAGCAGAGGAAUUUGAAGUGCCCUAAGAAUAUGCAGUCCUUUCUAUUACGAUUUUCUAGCUGUGGUGUAUUUUCCCAACCCAGAUAUUAUAGGUUUCUUUAGUGGAAUUUCAUUCCAAACACCAUUAUUAACCAUUCCCUAAAAUAAGACAAAAACCCAUUUAUUUACUGUUAAUUGGAAUACAGUUUGAAAUGGGCAACAUCCCAUGAAGUUCAUCCCAUGUGGAACACCUGUUGUCAAGGGCACGGU
Lepisosteus oculatus (spotted gar) is the source of this 1898-nucleotide non-coding RNA. Lineage: Eukaryota; Metazoa; Chordata; Actinopteri; Semionotiformes; Lepisosteidae. The record is from RefSeq and is a predicted model, not a curated record.